Small nucleolar RNA from Pongo abelii (Sumatran orangutan), 89 nucleotides. The record is from Ensembl. Lineage: Eukaryota; Metazoa; Chordata; Mammalia; Primates; Hominidae.
CUCCUUUUGUAGCUCAUGAGCGAUGAUGAUUGGGUGUUCACAUGCAUCUGUGAAAUGCACUACAAUCUUGGCUCAUUACCCAUCUGACC